Molecule: long non-coding RNA, 2055 nt
Organism: Phacochoerus africanus (Common warthog)
Lineage: Eukaryota; Metazoa; Chordata; Mammalia; Artiodactyla; Suidae
Exons: 5
Source: RefSeq, a predicted model, not a curated record
UCAGAACCAAAUUUUGUGAAAAUAUUGCCCCUGACUCCACUGAGCCAUGAGGCAAAGGGUAACUGAUGCUGCCCCAGCUCCAACAGUGCGUCUGAUCUCUUAAAAGCUGCAGAUGUAGUCAAGGAGAAUAAUGACAAAGGAAGCGCCUCUUAUGGAGCAGAGGCAAGACCCAUGGAGAAAAUGGACUGGAGAAUAACAUCCUGGAAGUAGAACUAGAGUCAAAUCCAGGAGCACUUCCUCAUCACAGAGUAAGAGACCUUUGCAGCAUUUGGCCCGGGAUGUCAGCUUUGCUGUUGGUUUCCCACCUUCUUUGCUACCAUACUGAUAACUGGAGGCAAGACUGAUUUGUGUUGAUGUGAUGAAGAGAAAGAAAGGUGACCUAAUUAGUGUGCAGAACAGACUGGGCCGGGAAGCCAAAUCAUGGAUGGCAGAGCAGCCUGCUGGCUCCCUGAGACACAUGUGAAGGAUAAACAGACCGAUUUCCCCUCAUGCAGUGAUUUCUGUGAAGAAAGCACUCUUCAGCAUCCAGUAUAAUGAGUAGGAUGAAGAUAUUAAGAACAAAAUAAACAAAAAGCAGUAAGUGGGACCAUUGUGGGGAAGGAGGCAGGAGGAGCAGUUUUUGGUAUUGGUCACCCAGGAGUCCGAUAUGAAAUUUCUGGAAAAUGGUCUCCAAAGCUGGGAAUUUGCAUCGCUAAUUUAUAGACCUCUUGAGGGAAUGGGCUGUGUGACUUGGGUGAGUAACAGAUAAGCAACAUGUUAAAACAUAGCAAGAAGACUGGGUCCACAGUCAUUAAAUCAGCAUGUUUAAGAAUAAUUUUUGUUUUAUAAAUUCCUGGAGAAAGAACCCUGGCAACGUUUCCAAGUCAAAAAAGGUCAUUUAGCUGAAGCUCAACUGAAAGAAAAAAAUUAAAGCAUCUUUAUCAGUAGUGUGAAAAAAUGUGUGCUCGAUGAAAAUAAAGCUUGGGAAGUUCAUAACUCUGUUAGAAUUCUUUCAUUUCCAUCCCCCUGGAGCAUUUGUUCAAUUCUGAAAAGAUUUAACAGAGGGCAAGCAUCCAAGAUGUGACUUGGACAUUUGAAAACUAGAUAGUCAGAGCUCUUUAAAACUCCAUGGACACCUUGGACCCAGUUUUGGAACUAAGACCACCUCAAAAGUUGAGAGAUCACCUGAAGAUCAUUCUUGAAUGCACGGUGCUAAAGAAUUGGAUAUGCCCUAAACAUACUAUUUAAUUACCUUCCCAGCACUCUGCAGAAAGGAUGCAGGAGCAGAAUGCUCUUCCGAACUUUACUGACAGGCCAAGGAACACAACAUGGUGACAUAACUUAAUGCCGUGUCCCACACUGCUGUCCUGCCAGGAUAUACUUCCCCUGUCUUUCUAGUCUCGAAUGGCUCUACUAAGUGAAACUAGUGCUCCGUGCAUUGACUUCUGCUGGCAGGAGGAGUUUUCCAGACCAGGCCAAACCUGGUACUUUGGAGGACCCCGUAAAGAGGCCUCACCAGCUGGGUGAUCAAAUGGUAUUGACGUGACCCUGCCUCCACUCUGCCCUGAGAUGUGACUCUUCUACCCCUGAAAGUUUCCUUAUUCUCACAUGGAUGCAACAUUCACCCCUUUUCUGCUUCUUCCUCAAUAACUCCUGAGUUCUAGUUAAGCCUCAGUGAAAGCUGGUGUAUUCUCACUGACUUUUUUUUUCAUUAAAAACAAUGACAUUUGUUUAUAACAGCUAAUACCGCCAUCUGAGAAGGAUGAGCAUCUGAGAAAGAUGCUCACUGAAAAUGAUCUUAAACUUGUGUAAGUGAUUAUGUAACAUACAUCUUUAGACCAAAUUGUCCUUACAGAUGAGGUGGUGAUGCUGGAAACUCGUCUGUUUUUGCCAAAGUGACUCAAGAACACUGUAUAUGGUUUCUAAACUCCCUCAUCUUUCUUCUGUGUGUGUGUGCAUGUGUGCAUAUAUGUGUGUAUAGGGCAAAGAGAAAAAUAUAUAUAAAUCCUAUGGUGAGUAAGAAUGUUUCCAUGACACAUAAUACAGAAUACAAAAGUUUUAUAAUUUGUAGUUAAU